ACGAACGCUGGCGGCGCGCCUAACACAUGCAAGUCGAACGAGCAAAGAGGAGCUUGCUUCUCUGAGCGAGUGGCGAACGGGUGAGUAACGCGUGAGGAACCUGCCUCAAAGAGGGGGACAACAGUUGGAAACGACUGCUAAUACCGCAUAAGCCCACGGGUCGGCAUCGACCAGAGGGAAAAGGAGCAAUCCGCUUUGAGAUGGCCUCGCGUCCGAUUAGCUAGUUGGUGAGGUAACGGCCCACCAAGGCGACGAUCGGUAGCCGGACUGAGAGGUUGAACGGCCACAUUGGGACUGAGACACGGCCCAGACUCCUACGGGAGGCAGCAGUGGGGAAUAUUGCACAAUGGGGGAAACCCUGAUGCAGCGACGCCGCGUGGAGGAAGAAGGUCUUCGGAUUGUAAACUCCUGUUGUUGAGGAAGAUAAUGACGGUACUCAACAAGGAAGUGACGGCUAACUACGUGCCAGCAGCCGCGGUAAAACGUAGGUCACAAGCGUUGUCCGGAAUUACUGGGUGUAAAGGGAGCGCAGGCGGGAAGACAAGUUGGAAGUGAAAUCCAUGGGCUCAACCCAUGAACUGCUUUCAAAACUGUUUUUCUUGAGUAGUGCAGAGGUAGGCGGAAUUCCCGGUGUAGCGGUGGAAUGCGUAGAUAUCGGGAGGAACACCAGUGGCGAAGGCGGCCUACUGGGCACCAACUGACGCUGAGGCUCGAAAGUGUGGGUAGCAAACAGGAUUAGAUACCCUGGUAGUCCACACCGUAAACGAUGAUUACUAGGUGUUGGAGGAUUGACCCCUUCAGUGCCGCAGUUAACACAAUAAGUAAUCCACCUGGGGAGUACGACCGCAAGGUUGCAACUCAAAUGAAUUGACGG
This 874-nucleotide ribosomal RNA is filed under the name uncultured Bacillota bacterium. RNAcentral describes it as "bacterial SSU rRNA". It matches the Rfam family "Bacterial small subunit ribosomal RNA", at positions 29 to 916 of the family's 1533-position model. The record is from RNAcentral. Lineage: Bacteria; Bacillati; Bacillota.